Molecule: ribosomal RNA, 1412 nt
Filed under: Kocuria sp. SeLB8
Lineage: Bacteria; Bacillati; Actinomycetota; Actinomycetes; Micrococcales; Micrococcaceae
Description: bacterial SSU rRNA
Rfam family: Bacterial small subunit ribosomal RNA
Source: RNAcentral
UUAACACAUGCAAGUCGAACGAUGAUGCCCAGCUUGCUGGGCGGAUUAGUGGCGAACGGGUGAGUAAUACGUGAGUAACCUGCCCUUGACUCUGGGAUAAGCCUGGGAAACUGGGUCUAAUACUGGAUACUACCUCUUACCGCAUGGUGGGUGGUGGAAAGGGUUUUACUGGUUUUGGAUGGGCUCACGGCCUAUCAGCUUGUUGGUGGGGUAAUGGCUCACCAAGGCGACGACGGGUAGCCGGCCUGAGAGGGUGACCGGCCACACUGGGACUGAGACACGGCCCAGACUCCUACGGGAGGCAGCAGUGGGGAAUAUUGCACAAUGGGCGGAAGCCUGAUGCAGCGACGCCGCGUGAGGGAUGACGGCCUUCGGGUUGUAAACCUCUUUCAGUAGGGAAGAAGCGAGAGUGACGGUACCUGCAGAAGAAGCGCCGGCUAACUACGUGCCAGCAGCCGCGGUAAUACGUAGGGCGCAAGCGUUGUCCGGAAUUAUUGGGCGUAAAGAGCUCGUAGGCGGUUUGUCGCGUCUGCUGUGAAAGCCCGGGGCUCAACCCCGGGUCUGCAGUGGGUACGGGCAGACUAGAGUGCAGUAGGGGAGACUGGAAUUCCUGGUGUAGCGGUGAAAUGCGCAGAUAUCAGGAGGAACACCGAUGGCGAAGGCAGGUCUCUGGGCUGUUACUGACGCUGAGGAGCGAAAGCAUGGGGAGCGAACAGGAUUAGAUACCCUGGUAGUCCAUGCCGUAAACGUUGGGCACUAGGUGUGGGGGACAUUCCACGUUUUCCGCGCCGUAGCUAACGCAUUAAGUGCCCCGCCUGGGGAGUACGGCCGCAAGGCUAAAACUCAAAGGAAUUGACGGGGGCCCGCACAAGCGGCGGAGCAUGCGGAUUAAUUCGAUGCAACGCGAAGAACCUUACCAAGGCUUGACAUUCACCGGACCGCCCCAGAGAUGGGGUUUCCCUUCGGGGCUGGUGGACAGGUGGUGCAUGGUUGUCGUCAGCUCGUGUCGUGAGAUGUUGGGUUAAGUCCCGCAACGAGCGCAACCCUCGUUCUAUGUUGCCAGCACGUGAUGGUGGGGACUCAUAGGAGACUGCCGGGGUCAACUCGGAGGAAGGUGGGGAUGACGUCAAAUCAUCAUGCCCCUUAUGUCUUGGGCUUCACGCAUGCUACAAUGGCCGGUACAAAGGGUUGCGAUACUGUGAGGUGGAGCUAAUCCCAAAAAGCCGGUCUCAGUUCGGAUUGAGGUCUGCAACUCGACCUCAUGAAGUCGGAGUCGCUAGUAAUCGCAGAUCAGCAACGCUGCGGUGAAUACGUUCCCGGGCCUUGUACACACCGCCCGUCAAGUCACGAAAGUUGGUAACACCCGAAGCCGGUGGCCUAACCCCUUGUGGGAGGGAGCCGUCGAAGGUGGA